Myiozetetes cayanensis is the source of this 344-nucleotide long non-coding RNA. RefSeq lists it as uncharacterized. The transcript is spliced from 4 exons. Lineage: Eukaryota; Metazoa; Chordata; Aves; Passeriformes; Tyrannidae. The record is from RefSeq and is a predicted model, not a curated record.
CCGCAUCAACCUGCCGCGUCUUCCUGGUCCGCUUCGCAUCUACCCGCACAAGUAAAGAUUUGUGACUCUGUGAAGAAAAUACUAAGACAAGAGUUCCUGUAGUUUUCAGACCUCCGUUGCCUUCUGGAAUAGUCACUUGAGCAUUUAAGAGUGCCAAUUAUAACGGAGAUGGUCUCCAGGGAUUACUGACAAUUUCCUUGAUGAUAUAUGAGAGCUGCCAUUGCCCACUUGAAAUGACUGCAACACUGACAGUGACUGAAAGGAAACACAAUUGCAAAAUGAAGAUCAAAAGCCUUGAUCCUACAAGAUAAUGAAUACCUGAAGCAUCUGUUUCAGAUAAGGGC